AGAGUUUGAUCCUGGCUCAGAUUGAACGCUGGCGGCAGGCUUAACACAUGCAAGUCGAGCGGGGGAAGGUAGCUUGCUACUGGACCUAGCGGCGGACGGGUGAGUAAUGCUUAGGAAUCUGCCUAUUAGUGGGGGACAACAUCUCGAAAGGGAUGCUAAUACCGCAUACGUCCUACGGGAGAAAGCAGGGGACCUUCGGGCCUUGCGCUAAUAGAUGAGCCUAAGUCGGAUUAGCUAGUUGGUGGGGUAAAGGCCUACCAAGGCGACGAUCUGUAGCGGGUCUGAGAGGAUGAUCCGCCACACUGGGACUGAGACACGGCCCAGACUCCUACGGGAGGCAGCAGUGGGGAAUAUUGGACAAUGGGCGGAAGCCUGAUCCAGCCAUGCCGCGUGUGUGAAGAAGGCCUUUUGGUUGUAAAGCACUUUAAGCGAGGAGGAGGCUACUAAGAUUAAUACUCUUGGAUAGUGGACGUUACUCGCAGAAUAAGCACCGGCUAACUCUGUGCCAGCAGCCGCGGUAAUACAGAGGGUGCGAGCGUUAAUCGGAUUUACUGGGCGUAAAGCGUGCGUAGGCGGCUUUUUAAGUCGGAUGUGAAAUCCCCGAGCUUAACUUGGGAAUUGCAUUCGAUACUGGGAAGCUAGAGUAUGGGAGAGGAUGGUAGAAUUCCAGGUGUAGCGGUGAAAUGCGUAGAGAUCUGGAGGAAUACCGAUGGCGAAGGCAGCCAUCUGGCCUAAUACUGACGCUGAGGUACGAAAGCAUG
Molecule: ribosomal RNA, 761 nt
Filed under: uncultured bacterium
Lineage: Bacteria
Description: bacterial SSU rRNA
Rfam family: Bacterial small subunit ribosomal RNA
Source: RNAcentral